This 423-nucleotide ribosomal RNA is filed under the name uncultured bacterium. RNAcentral describes it as "bacterial SSU rRNA". It matches the Rfam family "Bacterial small subunit ribosomal RNA", at positions 361 to 775 of the family's 1533-position model. The record is from RNAcentral.
AUCUUCCGCAAUGGACGAAAGUCUGACGGAGCAACGCCGCGUGAGUGAUGAAGGCUUUCGGAUCGUAAAACUCUGUUGUUAGGGAAGAACAAGUACCGUUCGAAUAGGGCGGCACCUUGACGGUACCUAACCAGAAAGCCACGGCUAACUACGUGCCAGCAGCCGCGGUAAUACGUAGGUGGCAAGCGUUGUCCGGAAUUAUUGGGCGUAAAGCGCGGGCAGGCGGUUUCUUAAGUCUGAGGUGGAAGCCCCCGGCUCAACCGGGGAGGGUCAUUGGAAACUGGGGAACUUGGGUGCAGAAGAGGUGAGUGGAAUUCCACGUGUAGCGGUGAAAUGCGUAGAGAUGUGGAGGAACACCAGUGGCGAAGGCGACUCUCUGGUCUGUAACUGACGCUAAGGCGCGAAAGCGUGGGGAGCGAACAG